AGGGAACUAAACUUGGCUACGGAGGAGAGGCGGCAGGAGGAACCAACCCUUAGGCGUUUCUCGCGCAGCCUUUGGAAAACUCAGCCGCCGGCGGUCGGAGGGGGACGGACGGACGGACGGACGGAGGGUCGGACGGAGGGGGCAGUGCACCUGUUUGCGGCGGGGGCUGGGCGGGGGUCCCGGCCUGGCGCUCGCCGACCCCAGCCCGGGCACCUGCGGGCUCCCCCCGGCCCGUCGGGGCUGGCAGCGCCCGCUCCCCUCCGCGGCCCCGGGCUGCCGAGAGCUGCUGCUCCUCCCCGUGGGACGCUCCUGCCUGCUGGGGCCCUGGGUGAUGCUCUGAAGCACGGUCCCCACCGUCCCCCCCAGAGGCACUGCCCCAAAGCAUCAGGUGCGUCCAUGGGACGAGUCAUCCCUUGGGGAACACAGGGACGAGGUGAUUUUGAUUCCUCCCUGCUGUUCAGGACCCACAGGAUGGUUUCUCAGCUGUGCAAGGGAACAGCACUCCCUGUGGGGCUGGCAGGCUGCGUGAUGGUGCCUUUACCUGGUCCUGUCCCGUGGGACAAGGACCGACCUUGUCUUGCCACGGCGGGCACCUGCCACCAUUUUCAGCUUUUCCCCUUCCCAGACCAUCUCUGGCUCCUGAGCACAUGGGUCUGAUGAUCCCUUGACCACGUGAAGAUUUUGCUGUAGUUUCUGGAAAUUUGGCGCUGCUCACGCUGAGCACCCGGGCUGCAGGGGAAGGUCAGGGCUUCAGACGUAUUUAAGAGCACUUGCCCCGUGUCACUAUGACUCCGAAAAAGUAAACGCGGAGAGGGCACGCAGCUUCUUACAAAGUACAGCACCUGUCUCCUGAGGUCUCUGUUGAACUCUAAACAGUGCCUUGGAAAGCACACAAACUCUCAAUCCAGCUGCCAAUUCAGAGGGCCCCGGGAGACGCACUGUGUGUGUGGGUGUGGAGGGAAAGGAGCUCUCGCUAGUGGGAAGUAAACACUUAAUGAACUAAUUAUAUGUAGAAUGGGCAAAGUGUCUGACUCCCUGACACACAAUAUAAACGUACUUACAUGUGAAGGAAAUAUGUGAUUUGUAUCAUUUCAUUGUUACUGUCAAGAGCUUAAUGGGGUUCAAAAAAGGAUUAGCUAUUAUGAAUAGUGGGAACAUUUGCUUAACACUAAAUAGGCCAAAAAUUAAGAACGGAUCUCAGCCUUAUGCGUCAACUUAUUAGUCAGCCCUCAGUUGGCGAUGGGUAGGGAAGGGAAAGCAAGCCUUCCACCGGGGUCAGAUUGUUCCCUCGUCCGACAAAGACUCACCUGAUGGCUCUCUCCCGCCUCCUGUCUUGGCAGCUGUCAGAGGUGGGCAGCUGGGUUUCUCCAGCAUGGUCAUUCACGUGUUCCAGCUUUUUGGCCUUCCACAUCUCGAAAGCCAUCUCCUAAGGAAGAGGCACUUUUCUGUCCAGUGUUUGCUACCAGACUGAUCUUGGUGAGCAUCCCUAAAAGCUGUGGGUUGUGAGAGGCCAGGCCGACAAAGAAGUUUAAUAAGGUAAUUAGUAAUUCAGCUACUUCUUUUUAUUUCUCCUCUGGGGCAACUUGCUACUGUUGACCUUUUUUCAAAUCUUUCCUUGCCUGUUCCUCCCCAGAAGGACUUUCUGGCUUCCAAGCACUAUGCUCAAUAUGCAAGGCUAGAACUUCCACUACCAACAUGCUCCCCCACGUGUUAUUUAUUAUUCAUAAACCUCCCGGGUUUCAGUGUCACUCUGAGUUAGCACAAUUUUUCAUAUGGUUGUUUAGCACUUUGCAACGUGGCACAUAUUCGGUAAGAGGAGACUUUUUAAACACAUGCACACACACACACAUACGGAAUAAGGUCAUUAGCAUAUCCUGCAUGUCCAAGUCCAACUCUUUGGAAAAAAAUAUUUGAUAACACAGUAAUAUAGUUGUUACAUUAAUAAUAAUAAACAUGAGAUUCUGCAAAAUGCUGUAUCA
Molecule: long non-coding RNA, 1979 nt
Filed under: Anas platyrhynchos platyrhynchos (common mallard)
Lineage: Eukaryota; Metazoa; Chordata; Aves; Anseriformes; Anatidae
Description: lncRNA (ENSAPLG00000022510.1)
Source: RNAcentral